UAGCUGGUCUGAGAGGAUGAUCAGCCACACUGGAACUGAGACACGGUCCAGACUCCUACGGGAGGCAGCAGUGGGGAAUAUUGCACAAUGGAGGAAACUCUGAUGCAGCAACGCCGCGUGGAGGAUGACGCAUUUCGGUGUGUAAACUCCUUUUAUAUGGGAAGAUAAUGACGGUACCAUAUGAAUAAGCACCGGCUAACUCCGUGCCAGCAGCCGCGGUAAUACGGAGGGUGCAAGCGUUACUCGGAAUCACUGGGCGUAAAGCGCGCGCAGGCGGCCUUUUAAGUUGGAUGUGAAAGCCUAUGGCUCAACCAUAGAACUGCAUCCAAAACUAUCAGGCUAGAGUGUGGGAGAGGAAGAUGGAAUUAGUUGUGUAGGGGUAAAAUCCGUAGAGAUAACUAGGAAUACCAAAAGCGAAGGCAAUCUUCUGGAACAUUACUGACGCUGAGGCGCGAAAGCGUGGGGAGCAAACAGGAUUAGAUACCCUGGUAGUCCACGCCCUAAACGAUGAAUGUUAGUCGUCGGGUAGCUAGUCUAUUCGGUGAUGCAGCUAACGCAUUAAACAUUCCGCCUGGGGAGUACGGUCGCAAGAUUAAAACUCAAAGGAAUAGACGGGGACCCGCACAAGUGGUGGAGCAUGUGGUUUAAUUCGAAAAUACGCGAAGAACCUUACCUAGCCUUGACAUAUUUAAGAACACUUUAGAGAUAGAGUUGCCUUCGGGAGCUUUUAUACAGGUGCUGCACGGCUGUCGUCAGCUCGUGUCGUGAGAUGUUGGGUUAAGUCCCGCAACGAGCGCAACCCUCGUCACUAGUUACUAACGGUUCGGCCGAGGACUCUAGUGAGACUGCCUUCGUAAGGAGGAGGAAGGUGAGGACGACGUCAAGUCAUCAUGGCCCUUACGGCUAGGGCAACACACGUGCUACAAUGGCCAGGACAAUGAGACGCGAUACCGCGAGGUGGAGCAAAUCUAUAAACCUGGUCUCAGUUCGGAUUGUAGUCUGCAACUCGACUACAUGAAGCUGGAAUCACUAGUAAUCGUAGAUCAGCUAUGCUACGGUGAAUACGUUCCCGGGUCUUGUACUCACCGCCCGUCACACCAUGGGAGUUGAUUUCACCCGAAGCGGGGAAGCUAUACUGGCUAUCCUCCACGGUGGAAUCAGCGACUGGGGUGAAGUCGUAACAAGGUAACCGUAGGAGAACCUGCGGUUG
This 1210-nucleotide ribosomal RNA is filed under the name metagenome. RNAcentral describes it as "bacterial SSU rRNA". It matches the Rfam family "Bacterial small subunit ribosomal RNA", at positions 284 to 1520 of the family's 1533-position model. The record is from RNAcentral.